CCUACGGGAGGCAGCAGUGGGGAAUAUUGCACAAUGGGGGAAACCCUGAUGCAGCAACGCCGCGUGAAGGAAGACGGUUUUCGGAUUGUAAACUUCUAUCAAUAGGGAAGAAAGAAAUGACGGUACCUAAAUAAGAAGCCCCGGCUAACUACGUGCCAGCAGCCGCGGUAAUACGUAGGGGGCAAGCGUUAUCCGGAUUUACUGGGUGUAAAGGGAGAGUAGGCGGCAAGGUAAGCGAUAGGUGAAAGCGUUAAGCUAAACUUAAGGAUGGCUUACGAACCUGCUAGCUAGAGUACAGGAGAGGAAAGCGGAAUUCCUAGUGUAGCGGUGAAAUGCGUAGAUAUUAGGAAGAACACCAGUGGCGAAGGCGGCUUUCUGGACUGAAACUGACGCUGAGGCUCGAAAGCGUGGGGAGCGAACAGGAUUAGAUACCCGGGUAGUC
This 442-nucleotide ribosomal RNA is filed under the name uncultured bacterium. RNAcentral describes it as "partial 16S ribosomal RNA". It matches the Rfam family "Bacterial small subunit ribosomal RNA", at positions 338 to 795 of the family's 1533-position model. The record is from RNAcentral.